RNAcentral lists this long non-coding RNA (282 nucleotides) under Mytilus galloprovincialis (Mediterranean mussel). The record is from RNAcentral. Lineage: Eukaryota; Metazoa; Mollusca; Bivalvia; Mytilida; Mytilidae.
GUUUUGGUAUAUUAAUCACAUGCAUCUAUAAUGAUGGAACAAUAACCAUCCGUGUUCACUUCUGUAAAGUUUAAUUAACAUUUAUUUUGUACACAAACGAGAGCUAUUUGCUAUAAAAACUAUGGAAAGCCUGUUUAACAUUAAUGUGUCUUGUUAUGGAACGCAGGUUUAACAAUAUUUUGUAAUUCUAUUUAAAUGAGUGUUUUGAUUAAGUAAACUUCAUUUUGAAUAUGAAAGAGAGUUAAUGAAAUGAUUUAAGUACUAUUUACUGCAUAUAAACCA